This 67-nucleotide transfer RNA is filed under the name Cyrtodactylus bapme. RNAcentral describes it as "tRNA-Ala". The record is from RNAcentral. Lineage: Eukaryota; Metazoa; Chordata; Lepidosauria; Squamata; Gekkonidae.
GAAGGCUUGUAAAAUAAAACUACAUUUCCUGACUGCAACUCAGGCACUUUAAUUAAGGUAAAACCUC